CCCCAUGCAACAGAUAUAUAAUCAUGGCAUACAUCAUACAGAAUCAGAUCGUCAUGCUUUUCAGUCAAAAUUAACCCUAGGGGUAUAACGGUAAUUUUACACCUAAGGGUAUAACAGUAAUUUUCCAUACAUAGGGGUAUUAUAGUAAUUUAGCUACUUUUAGGGUUUGCAUGCAUAUCCUAACUAUUUACGUACUAUCAGAACACUUACCGCGCAUACUUACCGAAUUGGG
This 232-nucleotide long non-coding RNA is filed under the name Gossypium barbadense (sea-island cotton). Its description in RNAcentral is "long non-coding RNA (GBAR_LNC011833)". The record is from RNAcentral. Lineage: Eukaryota; Viridiplantae; Streptophyta; Magnoliopsida; Malvales; Malvaceae.